CCUGGUUGAUCCUGCCGGUAGUCAUAUGCUUGUCUCAAAGAUUAAGCCAUGCAUGUGUAAGUAUGAACUAUUUCAGACUGUGAAACUGCGAAUGGCUCAUUAAAUCAGUUAUAGUUUGUUUGAUGAUGCGUGCUACUUUCGGAUAACCGUAGUAAUUCUAGAGCUAUCGUGCAACAAACCCGACUUCGGAAGGGAUGCAUUUAUUAGAUAAAAAAAAGCUGGCGUGGGCUUUGCUUUCGCUGCUCCGAUGAUUCAUGAUAACUUCGGCGGAUCGCCGCGGCCCUCGUGCGGCGGCGCAUCAUUCAAAUUUCUGCCCUAUCAACUUUCGAUGGUAGGAUAGGGGCCUACCAUGGUGGUGGCGGGUGGGGAGAAUUAGGGUUCGAUUCGGAGAGGGGCACGAAAAAGCGGCUACCACAUCCAAAAGGAAGGCAGCGGUAGCGCCAAUUACCCAAUCGACCACGGAGGUAGUAGUGACAAUAAAAAUAACAAUACCGGGCUCUUGAGUGCAGUAAUGGAAUAAUUACAAUCUAAAUCCCUUAACGAGGAUCCAUUGGAGGGCAAGUCACGGUGCCGGCCGGCGCGCGGUAAUUCCAGCUCAAUAAGCGUAUAUUUAAGUUGUUGCAGUUUAAAAAGCUUCGUAGUUGGACUUUGGGGCCGGGUUGGUCGGUCCGCCUCGCGGUGUGUGCACGGUCGUCCCAUCCCUCUCGGCGAUCGUGUGCCUGGCCUUAACUGGCGGGUCGUGCCUCGGCGCUUUGUUACUUUGAAGAAAUUAGAGUGCUCAAAAGCAAGCCCACGCUCUGGAUACAUUAGCAUGGGAUAACAUCACGGGAUUUCGGUCCUAUUGUGUUGGCCUUGGGGAUCGGAUAAUGAUUAAGAGGGACGGUCGGGGGCAUUAAGUAUUUCAUAGUCGGAGGUGAAAUUCUUGGAUUUAUGAAAGGCGAACCACUGCUGCGAAAGCAUUUGCCAAGGAUGUUUUCAUUAAUCAAGAACGAAAGUUGGGGGCUCGAAGGCGAUCGGAUACCGUCCUAGUCUCAACCAUAAGCGAUGCCGACCGGGGAUGGGCGGAUGUUACUCUUAGGACUCCGCCCGGCACCUUAUGAAAAUCAAAGUCUUUGGGUUCGGGGGGUAUGGUGCAAAGCUGAAACUUAAAGGAAUUGUGGAAGGGCACCACCGGGGUGGAGCCUGCGGCUUAAUUUGACUCAACAACGGGGAAACUUACCAGGUCGGACAUAGCAAGGAUUGACGGGUGAGAGCUCUUUCUUGAUUCUAUGGGUGGUGGUGCAUGGCCGUUCUUAGUUGGUGGAAGCGAUUUAUGCGGUUAAUUCCGAUAGCGAGCGAGACCUCGACCU
RNAcentral lists this ribosomal RNA (1349 nucleotides) under Musa schizocarpa. RNAcentral's name for it is "SSU rRNA". It matches the Rfam family "Eukaryotic small subunit ribosomal RNA", at positions 3 to 1349 of the family's 1831-position model. The record is from RNAcentral. Lineage: Eukaryota; Viridiplantae; Streptophyta; Magnoliopsida; Zingiberales; Musaceae.